This 375-nucleotide unclassified non-coding RNA is filed under the name uncultured Rubrobacterales bacterium. RNAcentral's name for it is "contains 16S-23S intergenic spacer region". The record is from RNAcentral. Lineage: Bacteria; Bacillati; Actinomycetota; Rubrobacteria; Rubrobacterales.
UCCGGCUUAUCACCGGCAGUUUCUUUAGAGUCCCCAACUUAAUGAUGGCAACACACCACGGGGGUUGCGCUCGUUGCGGGACUUAACCCAACAUCUCACGACACGAGCUGACGACAGCCAUGCAGCAUCUGUGGUGCACCCUCGAAGGUCACACGUUUCCGUGCGCUUGCAGCACCAUGUCAAGUCCAGGUAAGGUUCUUCGCGUUGCAUCGAAUUAAAGAACAUGCUCCGCUGCUUGUGCGGGCCCCCGUCAAUUCUUUUGAGUUUUAGCCUUGCGGCCGUACUCCCCAGGCGGGACACUUAACGCGUUGGCUUCGGCACAGACAGAUUCGACUCCGCCCACACCUAGUGUCCAUCGUUUACGGCUAGGACUAC